GUUGUUCAAGGCAGAGCAACAACUCCAUAUUUGUGGAAUAGUCAAAAAACAAGAAGACUUUUUCGAGCAACGGCAAAAUAUAGAGACUUUUGUGUGGUGGUGCGAGGAGCCACCCAGUAAAUUGCGUCGUUAGCAAAGAGUUUUGUGAAUUUUUCGGUCGGGUUUUUGAAUAACCGGACAACAGCGCUUGAAGACAUCUUCCAAAAAGAUUAUUCUAAAGGGAACUUGCGUCGACCACUCUUUUUAGAGCUUGUUUGGUGGUACCCUAACAAUUUCAUUGUUUCUUUCUAACGGUAAAUUAAAACCGCGUUCAAAAUGGCACUCUCUGUCGAAACCCAAGCCAGCCAAACCAGGCCCAAGAGCGAAUCCUACAACCACAG
Molecule: small RNA, 380 nt
Filed under: Drosophila willistoni
Lineage: Eukaryota; Metazoa; Arthropoda; Insecta; Diptera; Drosophilidae
Description: GK26956
Source: RNAcentral